AAUCAUGCGGUUAUCACAACAAGUACCAAAUCAUGUGAAAAAUGAGAAUCAAGAGGUCUUUCAAAGGUUGUAAUGUGGCUUAGGUUACAAGAAAGGAUAUGAUUAAGAGACUUUACAAAGUUGCCUAUCCUAAGGGAGCAUUCCCAAACAUUCAACUCUACACAAUUUCCUUUUCCUUGGUCCCUAUCUUUUUCUUUUUCUUUUUCUUUUCUUUUCAACUCCACACAACCAUGAGCAUUUUCUUUGCUUUUCUUUUUCUAAUCUUUUUUUUUUUUAUGCUCUAUGGUUUCAAUGGUAUUUUCUUUUUCUUUUUUCUUUUCAAAUUUUCACCCUUUCAUAAAAAUUCACUUUUCCAAGUUUCUAAUCAACUUUUCACUUUACUCUCCCCACCUUUAGCUUCCAAAACCAAAUCUAUUCAAUAAUGCUCCCUACUUAGACAUAAGCAAAAGGCAAAAUUUUCAACAACUCGAUUUAAGGUUUAAAUUGACACGAAAGAAAUUAGGAUUCAUUUAUUCCACAAUUUUCAAUUGAUUUU
Molecule: long non-coding RNA, 535 nt
Filed under: Lathyrus oleraceus (garden pea)
Lineage: Eukaryota; Viridiplantae; Streptophyta; Magnoliopsida; Fabales; Fabaceae
Description: Pisum sativum (pea) long non-coding RNA (PSAT_LNC037214)
Source: RNAcentral